This is a non-coding RNA of Arachis ipaensis, 1228 nucleotides long. NCBI's taxonomy places the organism in Eukaryota, Viridiplantae, Streptophyta, Magnoliopsida, Fabales, Fabaceae. The record is from RefSeq and is a predicted model, not a curated record.
AGUUAAGUUUAACCAUAUUAAUUUUUGAAGGUAGUUGGAUUUAAUUUGGAUUUUAUAUGGAAUUUUGAAUGUUGUACGCUGCUGCUGUUUUUUGGUUUCUAAGACACUGCAGAGCAGUCACGAUUUUGCUUAUAUUCCCAAAGUUAGAGUAAGUAAAAAAUUGUGAUUUUUAGUUUAAUGGAAAGCCUAAUUCGAGACGGUCGCAUAGAUAUAAAGUUUGUGUAAUUUCGAAUUCAUUUGGUAUUUUAAAAAUAGAAUUGAAAUUAGACUGCCGUAGUUAUUUUUGGUAAUAACCUUGGCUAUGGCCUAUGGGACUUAAGAAUAGAUUUUUAUGCUAUUAUCAGAUAUUUUUGAGAGUGUAUUAUUUUGAUAAUUGUAGAGAAAUGGUUGAUGAAUUGUUGAGGUUGAGAAAACCCGUAAGGGUGGUUUAAAUCCAUUUUUAGUAGAAGUUAUAUCCAAAUUUUUAUAAAAAUAUAAUGAUUUAGUUAAACCUUUUGGUUAUGUUGGUUGGGUAAUUUUCUCACAUGUUUAUGCUAACUAAAUAAUUUGAAACUAUAGGUACUAGAGAAAGUAAAGCUCAAAUUUUUUAGACAAAAUUUUUUAGAAUUGCAUUAAUUGACAUCAUAUUGUUAUUGAUCUUGUCCUAGAUAUUAAUUGCUAAUUUCAUUUUAUAACUAUCUUUUGAUCUUAUAGGUACUUUACAUCAACAAAGUGUUGGUGCUGAAGGUUUAAAAACUAUUUUAAAGCUUAGGAGGAAUGACUCUGCUGCAUCUAAUAUAAGUAGUGUUGCUUCUUAUUGUGUUGCAAUAUUAUGCUUAUUAUUUCAGAUUUUGUUUGUAGCUCCUUUAAAGCUUAUGAGUAGCUUGUGUUUCGAUGAAAAGCUAUUUGUUCUGUCACUUUUCAAGGUCUUGGUUUCUAUCUCAGAAACUGCUCCCAUCAUUUUAUACAUUAGAGAUGUUGAGAGCCUUAUUCUACAAUCACCAAGAUUAUACAACUUGAUACAUAAUACUUCACUGUUUUUGAAAGGAGAUGUAUGAACAUGAUGGAGUUUGUAAUUUGUAGUUUAUAUUUUGGAGAUCUAUAAUUCCUUGUUUUUCUUGUCCUAUGUAUCUAUCUAGUUCAUUAGGGUUUUUCAACGUGUCUUGUUAGUUUGUACUUUAAAGUUUAUAUGUUAAAGAUUUAUAAAACAAUCUUAGUUAAAUGAAAGAUAUUUAAACUAUCUAUGUUA